UACGGAAGGGGCGAGCGUUGUUCGGAAUUAUUGGGCGUAAAGGGCGCGUAGGUGGUUUUGUAUGUCUGCCGUGAAAGGGUACAGCUUAACUGUAGCUUGUCAGUGGAAACUGCAGGACUUGAGGCUGGGAGGGGCUGGUGGAAUUCCCUGUGUAGCGGUGAAAUGCGUAGAGAUGGGGGAGAACACUCGUGGCGAAGGCGGCCAGCUAGACCAGUUCUGACACUGAGGCGCGACAGCGUGGGGAGCAAACAGG
RNAcentral lists this ribosomal RNA (253 nucleotides) under uncultured bacterium. Its description in RNAcentral is "partial 16S ribosomal RNA". It matches the Rfam family "Bacterial small subunit ribosomal RNA", at positions 524 to 776 of the family's 1533-position model. The record is from RNAcentral.